GGAUCAAGCCUGUACUUUGAUCGAUUUUAUUCUAUUUAUAUGUUUAGGCUUUUUAGCUUCAUGUGUCAAAUCAAAUGGGCUUGAGAGACAGUCUUGUGCUCUCUAGUUAGCAGCACGUACCAGAGCCUUUAGUUUAGCCGCUGUACAGGUCUCUAUUAGAUAGCGGGAAAAGAAUGCAUUUAUUAGAGUGACCUUUGCAAGGAUAAGAAAGAUAAUAAAGGACUGACUGAGUAGGCAUUUGAUCACUCUCUAUACGAAGCUGGAGUUAUACGCUCCAAGACAAGACAUCCUACAUCAGUCUGUCUAUUUUCAUUCAUUGUCCACUCUUUUCCGACAAACUGCAAUUAGGCAAUCCUUUGUGGCGGAUUCCGAGUCAGUUAAAAUCUUCCGUUUCUCACUUUACCCUUGGAGUCGUGCCACGGCCCUGUACACAAAUGAUAUCUCUCGAUUCUCUAGUCUCAUUUCUGAGUUAAAAAAGUCAAACUUUCUUGGAAGAAUCCUUUUUAUAGGUGAAAGGGCCGACCCUUGGACCUAUUCUAUUCAGUCCAAACAAAGAACAAUCAAUGAUUUCUUUGAUGGCAUUUCUAAAUGAGAAUGAGUCAGAGGAGAGGGGUGGUUCUUCUUUAUUCUUUUCCUAGAAAACGUCAAAUUGAAAUCCCUACAAAGGCACCGAGAGCUCUAAUGAUGAGUAGAAAAAUAAAGUUGACCAUAACAAAAAAAGAUGUUGGAAUGCACGGGACAGGAGGAGAGUGUCUCCUGCCUCUGAAUGGCAAGCUUGAGUUUGAACCUGGUCUAUCUCAUUGGUUAGCCAGUCCCACAGACAGAAAGAAACUGAUAGAAAGAUUCGGGCGAUAAAGUCCGAGACUCUGAGCUCUUACUAUGACUACGAGCAGUAGCUGUGGCCAAGACACGAGCAAGAGAAUAGCCAUUCUGUCGCACCUUCUUAACUGGACACCUUUCUGACAUCAAGGCAACUCCAACUACCGGAAACAGCCGUUACAUUAGCUCGAACAUUCGAUUGUGAGAUGAAAUUAAACUCUCACCUCCCUUCAAGAAAUUGAAUUGAGUCACCUGUCCCCUAUUAGAGAGGAAGAGUGACGUUGUGUCCAGUCAUCGUCUAUUCACAUUCAACUAAAAUAACUGGACUUUCACUUAGAGUUUGAUUAGCAUAAAGUGCCAGCCCAGCUAGGCUGAGUUCCGUUCCAUUGCUUUCCCAAUAAGUGAAGUAGCGAAACCUCCCUCUGAAUGAACAGAAGCGGAAUGCAACUCAAAAAAAGUUCUAGGAUCACAAUGAGGUCCCACGAAAAAAUGAGCUGAAACGGAGCAAAAGGGAAAGCCCGCGCGCGGGAAGCAAAGUACCAUCGUGCACACUCAUCAAACCAAUGAUCGCUGCCAAAAAGACGGUGAGUUCGAAGCCACUUCCUAUAUCCGAUAUCCGAGGAGAUGGAAUUGUGAAGAACCUGACGAAGAUGAUGAUGUCCAAAACCCGGUAGAACUAAGGUAGUUAAGUUCUCCGAGGUUUAAUCUCCUACCUUGCUUCCAUUCUUUAAUGGCAUUCUGCAGUUCAAUGUCGGCGAAGCCUUGCAUUGAAUAGGUUGUUAUAAGCCUGACUUGGAGGCUUGAGAGACAUUCUUGUGCUCUCUAGUUAGCAGCACGUACCAGAGCCUUUAGUUUAGCCGUUGUACAGGUCUCUAUUAGAUAGCGGGAAAAGAAUGCAUUUAUUAGAGUGACCUUUGCAAGGAUGAGAAAGAUAAUAAAGGACUGACUGAGUAGGCAUUUGAUCACUCUCUAUACGAAGCUGGAGUUAUACGCUCCAAGACAAGACAUCCUACAUCAGUCUGUCUAUUUUCAUUCAUUGUACACUCUUUUCCGACAAACUGCAAUUAGGCAAUCCUUUGUGGCGGAUUCCGAGUUUGUUAAAAUCUUCCGUUUCUCACUUUACCCUUAGAGUCGUGCCACGGCCCUGUACACAAAUGAUAUCUCUCGAUUCUCUAGUCUCAUUUCUGAGUUAAAAAAGUCAAACUUUCUUGGAAGAAUCCUUUUUAUAGGUGAAAGGGCCGACCCUUGGACCUAUUCUAUUCAGUCCAAACAAAGAACAAUCAAUGAUUUCUUUGAUGGCAUUUCUAAAUAAGAAUGAGUCAGAGGAGAGGGGUGGUUCUUCUUUAUUCUUUUCCUAGAAAACGUCAAAUUAAAAUCCCUACAAAGGCACCGAGAGCUCUAAUAAUAAGUAGAAAAAUAAAGUUGACCAUAACAAAAAAAGAUGUUGGAAUGCACGGGACAGAAGGAGAGUGCCUCCUACCUCUGAAUGGCAAGCUUGAGUUUGAACCUGGUCUACCUCAUUGGUUAGCCAGUCCUACAGACAGAAAGAAACUGAUAGAAAUAUUCGGGCGAUAAAGUCCGAGACUCUGAGCUCUUACUAUGACUACGAGCAGUAGCUGUGGCCAAGACACGAGCAAGAGAAUAGCCAUUCUGUCGCACCUUCUUAACUGGACACCUUUCUGACAUCAAGGCAACUCCAACUACCGGAAACAGCCGUUACAUUAGCUCGAACAUUCGAUUGUGAGAUGAAAUUAAACUCUCACCUCCCUUCACGAAAUUGAAUUGAGUCACCUGUCCCCUAUUAGAGAGGAAGAGUGACGUUGUGUCCAGUCAUCUUUUAUUCACAUUCAACUAAAAUAACUGGACUUUCACUUAGAUUUUGAUUAGCAUAAAGUGCUAGCCCAGCUAGGCUGAGUUCCGUUCCAUUGCUUUCCCAAUAAGUGAAGUAGCGAAACCUCCCUCUGAAUGAACAGAAGCGGAAUGCAACUCAAAAAAAGUUCUAGGAUCACAAUAAGGUCCCACAAAAAAAUGAGCUGAAACGGAGCAAAAGGGAAAGCCCGCGCGCGGGAAGCAAAGUACCAUCGUGCACACUCAUCAAACCAAUGAUCGCUGCCAAAAAGACGGUGAGUUCAAAGCCACUUCCUAUAUCCCAUAUCCGAGGAGAUGGAGUUGUGAAGAACCUGACGAAGAUGAUGAUGUCCAAAACCCGGUAGAACUAAGGUAGUUAAGUUCUCCGAGGUUUAAUCUCCUACCUUGCUUCCAUUCUUUAAUGGCAUUCUGCAGUUCAAUGUCGGCGAAGCCUUGCAUUGAAUAGGUUGUUAUAAGGCUGACUUGGCUCUAGAAAGCAGAUUCAUUAUUGUAGCCUUAUAAUCUAAGAAGGUCAGGCAUUGUGCUGUGGCAUAAGCUUUGUCUUCCUCUACCUUUGGAUUGAGAUUUCAUCUGGACUAAGUAAGCACUUUAAAGAAAGGAAGUAAAAGAUUCAAUCAGAUCAGAAGAAGACUGACUUCAGCUUUGACUUCCUCCCGAGCGAGAGCGAUCAAAGGAC
RNAcentral lists this long non-coding RNA (3364 nucleotides) under Capsicum annuum. RNAcentral's name for it is "long non-coding RNA (CANN_LNC007182)". Lineage: Eukaryota; Viridiplantae; Streptophyta; Magnoliopsida; Solanales; Solanaceae. The record is from RNAcentral.